This 1495-nucleotide ribosomal RNA is filed under the name uncultured bacterium. RNAcentral describes it as "16S ribosomal RNA". It matches the Rfam family "Bacterial small subunit ribosomal RNA". The record is from RNAcentral.
AGUUUGAUUCUGGCUCAGGAUGAACGCUGGCGGCGUGCUUAACACAUGCAAGUCGAACGGGGAUGCAUUUGGAAGGUGUGCUUGCAUACCGGAAGGAUGUAUCCUAGUGGCGGACGGGUGAGUAACGCGUGGGUAACCUGCCUCAUACAGGGGGAUACCACCUGGAAACAGGUGCUAAUACCGCAUAAGCGCACGAGGACGCAUGUUUUUGUGUGAAAAACUUAGGUGGUAUGAGAUGGACCCGCGUCUGAUUAGCCAGUUGGCAGGGUAACGGCCUACCAAAGCGACGAUCAGUAGCCGGCCUGAGAGGGUGGACGGCCACAUUGGGACUGGAGACACGGCCCAAACUCCUACGGGAGGCAGCAGUGGGGAAUAUUGCACAAUGGGGGGAACCCUGAUGCAGCGACGCCGCGUGAGUGAAGAAGUAUUUCGGUAUGUAAAGCUCUAUCAGCAGGAACGAAGAAGACGGUACCUGACUAAGAAGCCCCGGCUAACUACGUGCCAGCAGCCGCGGUAAUACGUAGGGGGCAAGCGUAAUCCGGAAUCACUGGGUGUAAAGGGAGCGUAGACGGCAAGGCAAGCCUGGAGUGAAAGGCGGGGGCCCAACCCCUGGACUGCUCUGGGAACUGUCUGGCUGGAGUGCAGGAGAGGUAAGUGGAAUUCCUAGUGUAGCGGUGAAAUGCGUAGAUAUUAGGAGGAACACCAGUGGCGAAGGCGGCUUACUGGACUGUAACUGACGUUGAGGCUCGAAAGCGUGGGGAGCAAACAGGAUUAGAUACCCUGGUAGUCCACGCCGUAAACGAUGAUUACUAGGUGUUGGGGGGCAGAGGCCCUUCGGUGCCGCAGCAAACGCAUUAAGUAAUCCACCUGGGGAGUACGUCCGCAAGGAUGAAACUCAAAGGAAUUGACGGGGACCCGCACAAGCGGUGGAGCAUGUGGUUUAAUUCGAAGCAACGCGAAGAACCUUACCCGGCCUUGACAUCCCCCUGGCAGCAUAUGUAAUGUAUGUUCCCUUCGGGGCAGGGGAGACAGGUGGUGCAUGGUUGUCGUCAGCUCGUGUCGUGAGAUGUUGGGUUAAGUCCCGCAACGAGCGCAACCCUUACCCACAGUAGCCAGCACAUAAGGUGGGCACUCUGUGGGGACUGCCGGGGACAACCCGGAGGAAGGUGGGGAUGACGUCAAAUCAUCAUGCCCCUUAUGGCCGGGGCUACACACGUGCUACAAUGGCGUAAACAAAGGGAAGCGAGAAGGUGACUUUAAGCGAAACCCAAAAAUAACGUCCCAGUUCGGAUUGUAGUCUGCAACCCGACUACAUGAAGCUGGAAUCGCUAGUAAUCGCGGAUCAGAAUGCCGCGGUGAAUACGUUCCCGGGUCUUGUACACACCGCCCGUCACACCAUGGGAGCCGGGAAUGCCCGAAGUCGGUGACCUAACUGAGAAGAAGGAGCCGCCGAAGGCAGGUCUGGUAACUGGGGUGAAGUCGUAACAAGGUACCC